This is a long non-coding RNA of Salvia miltiorrhiza (redroot sage), 569 nucleotides long. RefSeq lists it as uncharacterized. The record is from RefSeq and is a predicted model, not a curated record. Lineage: Eukaryota; Viridiplantae; Streptophyta; Magnoliopsida; Lamiales; Lamiaceae. The transcript has 3 exons.
UUUGUAUUUCUUUUACUCUACUUCUUGCGGUUAAUACUCCCACUACUCCACUUCACAUCCCCACCAAAACGUCCUCUAUGGCUUCCACUACUAAUCUCUUUGAAUUUCACGCCAGGAUCCCAUCUCCACUUCCACCUUUUGCAGCUAGGGAUCGAAAGCCGCCCGCCGCUGAGCACCCUAGCGUCGCCCACCGCUCUGUACCCUAGCGCCACCGCACGCCACGAAUUCCUGCGGAUCGAUAUUAUAUUACUAGUAUAUUACUUUGUUCUCCCAUAUAUUACUUUGUUGAUUUUCUCAAAAUUGUGUUAGGAUUUGUGUAGAAUGAUGAUUGUUGAUCCUCUCUUCCUAUUCUUUUCGCUUAUCAGCAUUUGCAAUUGAGGGCCAACUCAAAUAUAAAGGCAAAUGGUUUUAUCACUACGAGAUUUGACAAGAAAAUUGAACGAAUAGCUGAACCAGAUGUCAAGAUGCAGUUAACCAAUGCGUUGGAUUACUUUUCGUCAACAAAGCUUUGUAGAAAUUAGUAGUGUUUGAUCAAUUGUGUACCGUUAUUAUGUAAUUUUUUUUGUUAU